GGGGAUGUAGCUCAGUGGUAGAGCGCAUGCUUUGCAUGUAUGAAGUCCCGGGUUCAAUCCCCGGCAUCUCCA
Molecule: transfer RNA, 72 nt
Filed under: Ameiurus melas (black bullhead)
Lineage: Eukaryota; Metazoa; Chordata; Actinopteri; Siluriformes; Ictaluridae
Rfam family: tRNA
About the family: Transfer RNA (tRNA) molecules are approximately 80 nucleotides in length.
Source: Rfam by way of RNAcentral